Long non-coding RNA from Limulus polyphemus (Atlantic horseshoe crab), 1607 nucleotides. RefSeq lists it as uncharacterized. NCBI's taxonomy places the organism in Eukaryota, Metazoa, Arthropoda, Merostomata, Xiphosura, Limulidae. The transcript is spliced from 5 exons. The record is from RefSeq and is a predicted model, not a curated record.
AGAGACCAAACAAAAUACUGAUUACAAUGAAAGCCCACGAGAAAAUGUUACUUCAAGGCAGGAUGCUGAGGAUGAUGGUGCAGCAUCACUGAGAUGUACAGAAGAACAUCGUAAAAGCUCAUCGGACUUUGAACAUGAAGAAGAAAAUAGCCAUGCAGAGAAGGAUAAGUUGGAAGCAACAAUGUCUAAGUCACUGACCUUUCAAGAUUUGCUUCAACACUAUCAAGUAGAAAACAAAAAACUGCAAGAUCUUGUUAAGAUAAAAGAGGACAAGAUUUUUGAACUAGAACAGGAAGUCAUAACUCUAAGUCAAGAUUUGGCAACAUCUGAAAACAAAAACAGGAAGCUUCAGGAAGAAAAUACAGCUCUUCUUCAUGGAAUGGCAAAGCUUAAAAUGUAGCAAGUAGCACUAGAGCCUUAUCAAACAUACAAACUCUGCAGUAAAAUAGGUUACUCAUUAAAGUAUGCCUGAAGACAAAGGAAUACCUUGUAAAAAGUUUGUCACAAAAGACAUUUAUAAAUGAGCUAAAAUUGUAAAGCAACAUAUACUGAAGAGUUUAGUUAAAGACUAACAAGUGCCUGUUAGACACACAAUAUACCAAAUUUUGUGUGAAAAAAAAUUAUAUUAAUGGGUGGAAAUGUUUUUUAUCCAAUUCUGUGAAAUGUUAUAUAAUUGCAAAUAUCAUUUGAUAAAACUGUUUUCCCAUUAAUUAAUUUUCAAUCUGAAAAACAGUGACAGACUUAGAACAUAUUGGACCUAAAAUGUAUUCCAGGUCAUCAUCAAAUUUUCCACUAUAAAAAUGUCAGUCUUUUUAAUUAUUAAAUUAAAUGUAACCAAUUAAUACAGUCCAUUUAAGUUUAAAUUUACUACAUUAGAAUUUUGCAAACUAACCAUACAUGUAUUUAUACUUUUCUGUAUUGUUAUGAUAGAAAAUGGUUUGAUUUUGAUUCCAAGUAGCCCAGAAGAGACAGUACUGACCCUGUUAUUCAUAGUUCCUAGUUACAUUCAAAGGAGUCUUUUUCGUUUUUUUUAUAAUACAUAUACUUUAUAGAUAACCAUUAGCAAAAUAUAAAAUGCAAUUUGAUUAUCUUUUUUUUUUUGUAUUGUCUUAAUUUUGACUGUACUUAUCUUAAAUAAUUUAUGAUGGAACAUAAAGGUUGGUUUUAUUGUUAGCUCUUAAAGUUAUUGUUCUAUAGUAAUUCCUUAAAAAAAUGCUUUAAAUCAGCUGCUUUGGUGGGAUUUAUUAACAAAGACAUUUAAAUUUUCAAAAUUAUGUUUACAAAAUUUAAAUCAAGUUUAUGUUUUUUGUGAAUAGCUGGAGAGUAUAUUGCUACCAUUUCUACCAAGAUUUAACAAAGCGUCCACUGCACUGAACUGAUUAUCAGAGUGGACACACAUUAAAGACAUUUUACUUUCUUUGUACCUUACCAGUGCCAAAUCUUUCACUAAAAUGAGGUCUAACUUGGUGGUUUGCAGGGAAACCAUUGAAAGUGCUACAGUAGCUUACAGUCUUAAGACCUGAUUGGUGAAUGUGCUGUGCAUGUUUUUUGGACAUCUGUAAAAAGUUUAUUUUUAUUAAAAACAAUAAAAGCUAAGAGCAUUGAAA